RNAcentral lists this long non-coding RNA (493 nucleotides) under Vulpes vulpes (red fox). Its description in RNAcentral is "lncRNA (ENSVVUG00000020148.1)". Lineage: Eukaryota; Metazoa; Chordata; Mammalia; Carnivora; Canidae. The record is from RNAcentral.
CAGAAAUGAAGAGCAAUUUUGUGGUUGAAAAUGAAAAUGUCUUUUCCCAACUGUGAUCAGCUCUUCUGACCUGGCAGAUAUGAUUUCAAGCCUGUGUCUUUCAGGCCUUGAAAUCUGCUUCAAAACAAUUUCUGCUCAAGAGGACAUUCUCGGGAAGUUUUAAGGCAUCUCAAAUCCUGGCCUACAUUUUCUGCUUGAUCUUACCUUGCUUUCUUGCAUAUGCAACUUAUUAGAGUAUCAUAAGUUCUCUUUUAUCCCAAGGCUUCCCAAGAAGAAACAUACUAUCGAAGGAUGUGACUUUGGGCCAUUUCAGGAUGCACAGGAGAGUGGUUCAAUCCUACGUGUACCGAGGACAGUGAUAGAAACCAGGCAACCCCUAUGAAAAAGGAUUAUGGAAUUCAUUCUGGGAAGACUCAGAAGAAACACGUGAGUUAUCUCCAAAUAUCUUAAAGCUUGUCAUGCCGGGGAACAAAGAUUUGUUCUUUUGUUCCUA